GCCGUCUGCAUCUGGNCUCAGCGGGAACUUCUGCUAAUCCCGGAUAAGCCUACGGGUGAAAGAUUAAUUGCCUGGAGAUGAGCUCGCGUCUGAUUAGCUAGUUGGUAAGGUAAAAGCUUACCAAGGCGACGAUCAGUAGCUGGUCUGAGAGGAUGAGCAGCCACACUGGGACUGAGACACGGCCCAGACUCCUACGGGAGGCAGCAGUGGGGAAUUUUCCGCAAUGGGCGAAAGCCUGACGGAGCAAGACCGCGUGGGGGAGGAAGGCUCUAGGGUUGUAAACCCCUUUUCUUUGGGAAGAAGUACUGACGGUACCAAAGGAAUCAGCCUCGGCUAACUCCGUGCCAGCAGCCGCGGUAAUACGGAGGAGGCAAGCGUUAUCCGGAAUGAUUGGGCGUAAAGCGUCCGCAGGUGGCCAUGUAAGUCUGCUGUCAAAACCCAGGGCUUAACUCUGGUUAGGCAGUGGAAACUACAAAGCUAGAGUCUGGUAGGGGCCAAGGGAAUUCCCGGUGUAGCGGUGAAAUGCGUAGAGAUCGGGAAGAACAUCGGUGGCGAAAGCGCUUGGCUAGACCAGAACUGACACUCAGGGACGAAAGCUAGGGGAGCGAAUGGGAUUAGAUUCC
This 623-nucleotide ribosomal RNA is filed under the name Oscillatoria sp. 7B3. RNAcentral's name for it is "bacterial SSU rRNA". It matches the Rfam family "Bacterial small subunit ribosomal RNA", at positions 121 to 786 of the family's 1533-position model. The record is from RNAcentral. Lineage: Bacteria; Bacillati; Cyanobacteriota; Cyanophyceae; Oscillatoriales; Oscillatoriaceae.